AACGAACGCUGGCGGCAUGCCUAACACAUGCAAGUCGAACGAGACCUUCGGGUCUAGUGGCGCACGGGUGCGUAACGCGUGGGAACCUGCCCUUAGGUUCGGAAUAACUCCCCUAAAGGGGUGCUAAUACCGGAUAAUGUCUUCGGACCAAAGAUUUAUCGCCUUUGGAUGGGCCCGCGUUGGAUUAGCUAGUUGGUAGGGUAAAAGCCUACCAAGGCGACGAUCCAUAGCUGGUCUGAGAGGAUGAUCAGCCACACUGGGACUGAGACACGGCCCAGACUCCUACGGGAGGCAGCAGUGGGGAAUAUUGGACAAUGGGCGAAAGCCUGAUCCAGCAAUGCCGCGUGAGUGAUGAAGGCCUUAGGGUUGUAAAGCUCUUUUACCCGGGAUGAUAAUGACAGUACCGGGAGAAUAAGCUCCGGCUAACUCCGUG
Molecule: ribosomal RNA, 433 nt
Filed under: uncultured bacterium
Lineage: Bacteria
Description: partial 16S ribosomal RNA
Rfam family: Bacterial small subunit ribosomal RNA
Source: RNAcentral